CCUACGGGAGGCAGCAGUGAGGAAUAUUGGUCAAUGGCCGGAAGGCUGAACCAGCCAAGUCGCGUGAGGGACGAUUGCCUUUUGGGUUGUAAACUCCUUUUAUAAGGGAAGAAAAAAUGCUACGUGGAGCAUGAUGCCUGUACCUUAUGAAUAAGCACCGCCUAACUCCUUCCCAGCAGCGCCGGUAAAACGGAGGAUCCGAGUAUCUUCCGGAUUUAUUGGGUUAAAGGGGUGCUUAGGGGGUUGUUUAAGUUAGUGGUUAAACGUCGGGGCAUCCCCGUGAUUUGCCAUUAAUACUGUAAGGCUCGAGUGCAGACGAGGUAGGAGGAAUAAGUUAAGUAGCGGUGAAAUGCUUAGAUAUCACAUAGAACACCGAUAGCGAAGGCAGCUUACCAGUCUGCGACUGACGCUGAUGCACGAGAGCGUGGGUAGCGAACAGGAUUAGAUACCCUGGUAGUC
RNAcentral lists this ribosomal RNA (459 nucleotides) under uncultured bacterium. Its description in RNAcentral is "partial 16S ribosomal RNA". It matches the Rfam family "Bacterial small subunit ribosomal RNA", at positions 338 to 795 of the family's 1533-position model. The record is from RNAcentral.